This 468-nucleotide ribosomal RNA is filed under the name uncultured bacterium. Its description in RNAcentral is "partial 16S ribosomal RNA". It matches the Rfam family "Bacterial small subunit ribosomal RNA", at positions 28 to 507 of the family's 1533-position model. The record is from RNAcentral.
GACGAACGCUGGCGGCGUGCUUAACACAUGCAAGUCGAACGGAAAGGCCCUGCCUUUGUUGGGUGCUCGAGUGGCGAACGGGUGAGUAACACGUGAGUAACCUGCCCUUGACUUUGGGAUAACUUCAGGAAACUGGGGCUAAUACCGGAUAGGAGCUCCUGCUGCAUGGUGGGGGUUGGAAAGUUUCGGCGGUUGGGGAUGGACUCGCGGCUUAUCAGCUUGUUGGUGGGGUAGUGGCUUACCAAGGCUUUGACGGGUAGCCGGCCUGAGAGGGUGACCGGCCACAUUGGGACUGAGAUACGGCCCAGACUCCUACGGGAGGCAGCAGUGGGGAAUAUUGCACAAUGGGCGGAAGCCUGAUGCAGCAACGCCGCGUGCGGGAUGACGGCCUUCGGGUUGUAAACCGCUUUCGCCUGUGACGAAGCGUGAGUGACGGUAAUGGGUAAAGAAGCACCGGCUAACUACGUG